Molecule: long non-coding RNA, 1695 nt
Filed under: Pelobates cultripes (western spadefoot toad)
Lineage: Eukaryota; Metazoa; Chordata; Amphibia; Anura; Pelobatidae
Source: RNAcentral
AUUAGAAUGUCUUUAUUUGAGUGCAAAUUGUCACUUUCAUUGCCUUAUAUAGCACCAGAAAAUAAAGUCUAAUAGCCACACUCAACUUACAGAAGCUUCAUUUUCAGAUGAUAUAUUAUGAAGGAUAUAUUGACAGUAUGUAUAUAAACAUGGAUCUGGGGCAGUGCUCUAACUCUGAAUGUCUCAUGAUAUUAUCAUGCACACUGCCAUAUUAUGGGACCUGCUGUAUAUAAGUCUGAAGACACAUUCCAGACCACAUGUCAUUGAGUAUAAUGGGGAUGCUGAUAACAAGCCAUGCUUUUAAACAUCCUUGUAUAUGAUCAGUGGAGGAAAUAGCACGGUUGCAGAGGUCGCAGCUGCAACCGGGCCCGUCACUCCAGGCCAUGCUCUUUGGGCCACUCGAUGGAAAUGGGCGCGACCGGGCCCCAUUGAUGAUGUCAGAGCGUCCACUGGGAGGAAGCCGUCACUUCUUCCCAGCAUACACAGAGCCGUGCGGGAGAAGAACACAGAGAAAGGAGAGGAAAUAGUCAGAGUGGGAGCGCUGACUCCCAUCAGCAUUAGGCAGCUACUGGACCCCAGGGAAGUCACCCUACUGCCCCUAAAGGUAGAAAACAGUAGGGUGACUAAAGUUUUUAACAGUUUGUGUGUGCGUGAAUGUCUGUAUCUCUGUGUCUGCAUGUGCGUGUGUGUUUGUGAAUGUAUGUAUCUGUAUAUCUGUGUGUCUGCAUGUUUGUGUGUGUGUGUCUGUAUGUAUGUGUGUGUCUAUAUGUGUAUCUGCAUAUGUGUCUGUAUGUGUAUCUGAUGUGUAUCUGUUUUUCUGCAAGUGUGUCUGUAUGUGUAUCUGUCUGCAUGUGUGUCAGUGCGUGUUCCUAUGUAUCUGUAUGUGUGUCAUUCUGUGUAUGUGUAUCUGCAUUUGUCUAUAUGUGUAUCUCUCUGUAUGUGUGUCUGUGUAUCCGCAUGUGUGUCAGUGUGUGUCUGUGUAUCUGUAUGUGUGUCAGUGUUUGUAUCUGUAGAAGUGUCAUUCUGUGUAUCUUAAUGUGUCAUUCUGUGUGUCUGUGUAUUAGCAUGUGUGUACAUGUAUGUAUCUAUAUGUGUUUUAUUUUACAAAUGGAGGGGUGGAGGGAGGGAAUAUGUAUUUUUAUUCGCACUGGAACCUUGUGGUUUCUAGUUAUGCCUCUGUAUAUGAGAGUGCACCAGUGUUAAUGGUUAUUGGUUAUUGAAUAUCCUGAGCUGAGUACGCAUAGAUAGUUCACAUUCACUGAUCCCUCUAGCUCAUGUCCUACUAUCUGUCCUACUAAACCCAAGGCACAAUAAAGGUUCUGUAUCACAUUUGGUGCUACCCUUCUCAUAUUACCCAAAGUCUCAUCAAUCUAACUUUCUUUAUCCCUGGGAAGAUAUCCAACAAAUAUGCUAUCAACAGGCUGGUAGAACACACAAAGAAGGUUUGCAAGUAUACAUUGACACAUGUUUUAUGGGAAGUUUACAUUCUAAAACUGAUAGUGUGGGUUUACACUGAGGGCCUGGUAGGUACUUGGUUCACCAUCUUGAUACAUAGAGUGAAAGGGAAGAGCAAACUGGUAACCUGCCCAGUGCCCUGUGGUAUAUUAAUUCCUCUGUGUGUGAAGACUCCUUCUUGGCAUUCACACAUAAACCCAUUGUACAUAUGCAACACUGACCAUAAAUACGUUUUUAAAG